This is a long non-coding RNA of Cygnus olor (mute swan), 3858 nucleotides long. RefSeq lists it as uncharacterized. The transcript has 3 exons. The record is from RefSeq and is a predicted model, not a curated record. NCBI's taxonomy places the organism in Eukaryota, Metazoa, Chordata, Aves, Anseriformes, Anatidae.
CAUUGUCUGGGUCCUUACUUGGAAUGCAAAGUUUAGCUCCUAAAACAUGUAUGACACUCAUGCGGAGAGUUAGGAUCCUUACAAUGAUUAAUAUGAAAACCCAUCACCUGGGGGAACACCUAAUCAGCAGGAAGAGCUGAGAGAAGACUCACACCUGACACUUACCACUUUCAGAGAUUUGGCUCUUGCCUUCAGCUGCUUUAGAGGUAGCUUCAGGGAUAUCUCCCAAGGGGCCGAAGUGUGCACGUGGCUGUGUGUGUGGCAUAUAUCUUACUGCACCUUACUGAAACGGGCUCCCAAGGGAAUUUAGGCAGAACUAGUCAUUAUUUUGGGGUCACAAACAGGCAGGAGCCACUUCGACAUUUUGGGACUAUCUCCAAAGAGGCGCCUAGGUGUCCAGAGAGUUAGACAGGCAGACAACUAACAAUGUAGCUCCAAGGAUAACCGUCCCUGUCAUACGAGGACAUGCACGUAGGCUUGUGGGAUCACACUGGGGCCACUGAACAGGAGUAACUGCACCGUACCAGUGUGAGACAGGCAGAGGCAGAGGCUUUCUCUAGGGCUCGACAUUCAGGCCUGGCAAACAGAGGUCCCAGCCACUCUUCUCCACUCACCACAGCAAAGGCCUUUCUCUGAUGUUUCAUUUACACUUCUUUUUUGAUAUGAAUCUUCAUAAAAUGCUCAGGAACUCACAAUAUGUAUAAGAGUUUAUAUUAGUCUACUCUGUGUAUGUGAGUGUGUAUGUGAAAGUGAGCUGCACAAAAAUGAGCAACUGGAUUUACUCCUGGGAAAGGACAAGAUCAGUGGGUAAAACUGUGGGAGGUUGGUUGCCAUUUGAGAUUGCUGCAUGCUCCACUGGGAUCCCAAUGCGUCAUUUGUUUCCAGUUAUUUCUGAGACAUAUGGAUUUCAGCCUGAAGAGGGGUUAGGGUUGUCUCCUACUGCCAUGGACCGAAUUGGGUUCUCCUGCUCUUCCUUCCAAGGAUCAGCUGCCAUGAGUUUUUGUUUCCACACAUGAAACAUUCAAAAACUGCUUGCCUUACACGUUUUGGAACCUUCUAGCAUUAGAAUUAUUUUAACAUUAUCCUAUUCUACUUCAGGGUUAGCCUCAUUUCUUCUGUGGGGAUUGUUGCUUUCCUUUGGACCAGCAGAUCUCAGGGCAUUGGAGAUACAUUCAUUUUUCUCAGAAAUUCCUUUGAUAAUUCCAGAUAUCUCCACUAUUUUGUUCCAUUCCUUAAUUACUUCCAUUUGCAUUGUAUCUCAGUGCCUAGCUGCCUAAUGAUCCCAUCUUCAGAUGAGAAUGCAUGUUGGUUUGGUUUUAUUCCCUGCCUUCCCAGCAAGAUGAGCUCAUCAGAGCUGGAGCUUAUUCUUCAGAGCAUCCUUCCCUGAGCCUCUUCAAGGGGCUGCUGCCUCUCCUUGGUCUUGUGGCCACUCUCUGCAUGUGGCAGCAGAGAAGUCUUAAAGGGGUGCUUCUUAUUUGCCUUGACUUGCCAGAGCCAUACAGUACUCAGGGUAAAUCUUGCUUUAUCUUCACAGAAAAGACAAAGUCAGUUUGCACCAGCUGAACCCAGUCUUAGAGAAUUGCAGUAAACAGUGACCCAGCAAGGAAAUAAUCAAUUCUGAAAGAUUGGAUUUGGGCUUGUAGCAAGUCCCUGGGCUCCGAUUUGAAAGAAAAACAUCAAUAGGAAAACUGGAACAAUGGUAGAUUGGCGCUGUAAGUUCUGAACAUAUGCACAUGAAUAUCCAGUAAGAAAAAGCUGAAUGCUUCAUGAUUAAACAUGACAGAGUAGGGACAAAAUGAACUCUGGAGAUCAGAAAGACGUACAUAGAUGUUGGACUCUGUUUGCCCACAGGUAUAGCUCCAGAGAAACAGCUGCACAGCAUCUUCUCAGAGCUGAGUCAGACCAGCUGUGCAGGCUAGGAUGCACACAAACACAAAUGUUUCAGACACAAGCCUUUUUUGUUUUGUACCCUCCUUCCACAGCUGCCCAGCACAGUUCAGAUUUACUGGAGGCAAACAUUGCUGGGGCAUAAAAGAUUAAAUGAGAAAAGCUUUGAAUCCUCCAACCUCUUCACUUUGAAAAAGCCCAGCAAAUACCAUGGAAGGAGCUUUAACAGAGGAGGUCAAAAAAGUUCAUCUGGAUCCCUCUACAUCCUAGUCAUUCCUGGGGCUAUCCUUAGAGUACUACUCCUUAGGUUAAUUUAUCGCUGUGUAAACAAAAUAUCCCCCAACUCCUUGUACCACUAGCCUUUCUGAGUUAGAAUAGAUACUCUUUGGAUGAGUGCAGCUGGAGAACAUCUAAAGUUUAUAUAUAGCAGCUAUUGCUAUUGUGUCUGAAUGGUGAGGAAAAGGUCAAAUCAAAAUGAUUUUAUUCUCUCCCCAGUUAGAAAAAUUUCUUCAUCUGCUUGUAUUUGUGUGGGAGUUUGGUCUUUUUUCCUCUUUAAAACUAUGUUCCUUUCAGGAUAUCCAUGCCAUGUUUUACCUCUUCUACAGGUUGAAUCCUCAAACAUUUUAUAAAACUAAGUAGAACACUUCAUUUUCUCAUCUAGUGAAACCUUUUGUUAUCUUAUUUAUUUAUUUACUUUUUUUUUUUUUUCCCCAAAGAAUGUCACUUGAGGGUGCUUUAACUUUUCUGGCUGAUUGAGAUCUUUGCUUUGCAAGAUCUGGUGGCACUUUCCACCACAUGGUCUCCAUUUCUCUAUAUUUCCUGCAUAGACAGUUGUCCCUUCAGUGAAGACCGUAUGGCAACUGCUGAGGUUUUUUACAAUGAAGCUCCAAGCAUACAAAUUUCUGGUUAAUAUCCUUCUUUUUCUUGUUGUUUUUUGUUUGUUUGUUUUGAUUUGUGUUUUUCUUUCAAGAUGGUAUUUCCCGUAAUAAAACACACAAAAUCUCCAUAAACUUAAUUUCAUGAUGAACCUGAAUUUUUCCUGAAGUCUUGCCCCUUCUUAUCCAUUUUCCCAACUUCUUGCUAAAUAUUUUGAACUUAACAUUAAAACCUGCAUAUCUGAGAGAACUUCUUGAGUAAUGUUUGUUUCCUAUAUUCCAUUCCAUUUGUUUCAUAUUUUCACUGUUUAAGGGGCCAGUAGCUUUUGUGACAAGUAUGCGUAAACUUUUUGUAAAGGAAGAAAGCUCAUAUUCUGGCAGAUGUAAGUGGAUUAACUGGAGUCUUAGGUACUGGAAGGAGCCUAAAAAGCUGUCAUUUUAUAUCCCUGCAAACAGAAAUUUUAGUCAACAGUCACAGUUUCAGGGAUAACUGAAAAUAUAUAAUUCAACCAUGAAGUGAAAAUCUAGAUACUGAAUUCCAGCUCUGCGGUCAGUGGAUGGAAAAUCCAAAUCAUACCUCUCAGCCCUGGGAAGGGCUUCCAAGAGAUUGCCAAGUAGAAAAAAAAAUAAAUUAAAAAUAGCCUUGUACAGUUUGGGGCUGAACCAUCUCAGAGGAUACAACUACCUAAUGAUUUGAAGUUUUCUUUGCCUAAGAGCAGAGGUACUGUGUCUUCAGAGUGUCUCCAUGGGCAGAAGAUAGAGAGAGAGCAGGACUUCACAUAUCUGAACUCACCUGUGAGUUUAACACAACAGCAGAAAAUUAGACAUGGGGUUGUGCAUGGCCGGAGUCAAUGAGGAGGCAAGCUGAGGACAGGCAGAGAAUAGGACGAGCUCUUGGCAAAUCAAGAAAUGACCUGUGUUGCUCCAGGCUGCUUCCCUGACAGCUCCUAUAGAGCCAUGCAAAUAAAGUUCCUCCUUCCACGUCCAAGAAAGUAUGUGGCAGAAGAACCUAAAUGACAAUAGGUUUUCCAUCUCCCAGAAGGAAAUCCUGUAGCACCCCAUAGGUAAAACAGCUUUCAAACACUAAAUCCUGCAG